UACGAAGGGGGCUAGCGUUGUUCGGAAUUACUGGGCGUAAAGCGUGCGCAGGCGGCUUCUCAAGUCAGGGGUGAAAGCCCAGAGCUCAACUCUGGAAUUGCCUUUGAGACUGAGUGGCUUGAGUACGAGAGAGGUGAGUGGAAUUCCCAGUGUAGAGGUGAAAUUCGUAGAUAUUGGGAAGAACACCGGUGGCGAAGGCGGCUCACUGGCCCGUUUCUGACGCUCAGGCGCGACAGCGUGGGGAUCAAACAGG
RNAcentral lists this ribosomal RNA (253 nucleotides) under uncultured bacterium. Its description in RNAcentral is "partial 16S ribosomal RNA". It matches the Rfam family "Bacterial small subunit ribosomal RNA", at positions 524 to 776 of the family's 1533-position model. The record is from RNAcentral.